RNAcentral lists this ribosomal RNA (403 nucleotides) under uncultured bacterium. RNAcentral describes it as "partial 16S ribosomal RNA". It matches the Rfam family "Bacterial small subunit ribosomal RNA", at positions 30 to 526 of the family's 1533-position model. The record is from RNAcentral.
AUUGAACGCUGGCGGCAGGCCUAACCCAUGCAAGUCGAGCGAGCGGCGGACGGGUGAGUAAUGUAUGGGGACUGCCCGAUAGAGGGGGAUAACUACUGGAAACGGUGGCUAAUACCGCAUACUGUCUGAUAACCCAUAGGGGAUUAGCUAGUAGGUAAGGUAAUGGCUUACCUAGGCGACGAUCACUAGCUGGUCUGAGAGGAUGAUCAGCCACAUGGGGACUGGUACACGGCCCAGACUCCUACGGAGGCAGCAGUGGGGAAUAUUGCACAAUGGGCGCAAGCCUGAUGCAGCCAUGCCGCGUGUAUGAAGAAGGCCCUAGGGUUGUAAAGUACUUUCAGUCGGGAGGCGUUACCGACAGAAGAAGCACCGGCUAACUCCGUGCCAGCCGCCGCGGUAAUUC